This is a non-coding RNA of Pelodiscus sinensis (Chinese soft-shelled turtle), 2442 nucleotides long. NCBI's taxonomy places the organism in Eukaryota, Metazoa, Chordata, Testudines, Trionychidae. The record is from RefSeq and is a predicted model, not a curated record.
AUCCAAGGUUGUGUGUGUCUGCAAACUGCCUGUCUGUUGCGGAAGGGGGGGGCACUGUCCCCCAUAAGUAAGUCUGUAACAUUGCAUGUGAUUUUCAUCAGGAAAGAAAAACCUUUUUGCUUGCUGGAAUAGUAACUAGCAAGCACCUUGUUCUAAGAGUUUCUGUAGCAGUAAAGAAAAAGCCUGGUCUGCAGUACAAGAGGAAAACUGAGGCAUGCCACUGUUGGAGAGGGCUAGCAUCUCUGAGGUAAUUCAAGGGACUGGAAGGUCAUGAGUACCAAUGAAGCGCUCUUGUUCUCAGAAAGUUGCAGCUCACUCACCCAUAGAAGUGGUAAGGAACUAGCUGUAACCAGUUCUCCUAACAGAUCUUAGGCAGUAUUUUAAGUUAUAAUGGGCCACCCCAGUGGGGGUACAAGUGUUUUCUUUGUCUUUCAGAUCAUCAAAUAGCGCUAAUAUCAGCUGAAAAUUAACUGGAAAAAAAUCAUAGUUCUGUCUCAUGACAUAAUAAGUUUGUGUUCUGUCCAGAUUUGUCUGGUAGGUCUUGAUUUUGAUAUAUGUAUUUCAAACAUUGUUGUGUGUACAAUAUUGUUGUUUUAAUGAAAAAAAAUGUAAGUCCCUUGAAUAAUCUUAACUUUGUGCUUUACACAGAUGGUUCUUGCUUUUAUAAUUCUAGUGGAGUUUUAGUAGCAGGCUAUGCAAGUUGUACUGUCUGGGAUGUAGUAGAAUCUGCCCCUUUACCUGCUGUUUCUUCCGCACAGGUAGCGGAAUUAAUAGCUCUCACAAGAGCUUGUCAUAUUGCUGCAGGAGCAUCUGCUACUAUCUACACUGACUCCCAGUAUACUUUUGGCGUAGUUCAUGAUUUUGGUAUGCUUUGGAAGCAACGAGGUUUCCUUACUUCCCCUAGCCACUCUAGAAAGAAUGGACCUUAUGUAGCUGCUUUACUUGAUGCAGUUCUUUUACCUUCGGCUCUUGCUAUUGUUAAGUGUGUAGCUCAUUCCUCUUCCUCUAAUGAAGUUGCAUUAGGAAAUGACAUAGCUGAUCGGGCUGCUAAGGCAGCCGCCCUGUCCUCCACGGGCUGAAGCAUUGUACCCUUCUCUCCCACCACCGCCAGCUCCUUUGCCAUCUCUGUCAGAACUGGCCCUCCUGCGAGACCAAGCCCCAGAAUCGGAAAAGCAGGAGUGGAGACUGGCAGGGUGCACCUUGCUCCCAGACCAUUUGUGGCGCAGCUCCGACGGCCGCAUUGUUGCCCCAGUGGUAUUGCUACCUCACCUUGCCUCCAUGCUCCAUGGAUUGUCGCAUGUUGGCAAAGGGGGGAUGGUAGCAAUCCUUAAAAAAAAAUUGGUUUGCUCCCAAAUUCUCCCAAGCAGCCGAAGAUUACUGUCUGGCUUUCCCUGUCUGCCAAGCCUACAACAUAGGUAAACCUGUAAAGACAGUUCCAGCAACCAGACCUCCACCUUUGGGACCAUUUCUGAAUUUACAAAUGGACUUUAUUCAAUUGCCUAAAUGUCAAUCCUUUGAAUAUGUGCUGGUUAUUGUUUGUUUGUUUUCGGGAUGGGUAGAAGCUUAUCCCUGCAGGAAAGCGGAUGCCAUCACAGUAGCUAAGAAACUUCUAAAUCAUUACAUCCCAUCAUGGGGAAUACCCCUGGUGAUCUCCAGUGAUAGAGGUUAAGGACGCCUUCCAGGAGGCCCCGACUGAGCCGUGCCAUAAACUACAUCCAGGAGACUGGGUUUGCGUGAAAGUUCACCAGCGAAAGACUGCCCUGGAACCCAGGUGGAAAGGUCCCUACCAAGUCCUUCUGACCACCCAUACUGCUGUAAAGUGCGAAGGAUUGCCCACCUGGAUUCACGCAUCCCACUGCAAACCUGUCCUGGCCCCUACAGAAGUUGGCCCCAACAAGGAGCACCACAGACCUAGGACCGGAGACCCAGGUCCAGAAGCAGACGAGGAUCAGCACAGGCUUGGUACCGGCAAUCCAAGCCCUGAAGCAGACGAUCCUAAAAGACCGAGGCCAAGGUACCAGCUGCGGCCCAGAAGGACCUUCCAGCGAUAGGUGAAGCAAUCUACGAAGUCCUGAAGAACAGCCAGCAUGAGGCUGGACAAACAAUUCAUGUUGAGCUUAUGCUUAAUCUUGUUUUUAAUACCUAGUAGUUAUAACCUAUAUGGUUUAAAUGUGUUUAUGCUUUUAAUGAACCAAGUUUCCCAAGAAUUUAAUUCCACAGGUUGCUAGAUAUGUGCUCACAGUCCUGUACAUUCAGAAGGAGGCAUCCCAAUGAUUCCAGUCCCACUAAACAACACUCAAAUAUGGCACACUGUUUAGUGAACUAAGCCAAAUUAAACUCGACAAGAAAAAAAAAAAGGUUUACUAACCCAGGGUAUAUCCGCCUAGCCUUGACCCCAAUUGGAAAGUACUGCUGGACAUGUAAUGGUUCAGGAGCCAGGGU